GGCACACUAGGCAGAGUCUUAACUGUCUCUUCAGUAGUGUGUGUAGAUCCUAAUUAACCCUUUGGGAACGUGGAUUCAUUCAAACAGACUUAAUUUAAGGAGGUUAAAGUAAAAUGUGAAUUUGUGUCAGUUAAGUUGUGCUAAAACUUAUCACAAAUCAAAUGACUGUCCUCAAAGGGUUAAAUGUACAAGAAAUCAUUUUUGUCAUUUUACUUUUUUUCUGUUUACUUUUUCCCUCAUUUUUUUCUUUAGUUUUUAUACUUUCCUUCAUAUCAUUUGUUCUGUCAGGUGUUCCCUGGCCAUCGCCUUGCCCAUCUCCUUCCUCUCGCCCACCUUCUCGCUACCAGUCAGGUCCCAACUCUCUUCCACCUCGGGCAGCCACCCCUACACGGCCGCCCUCCAGGCCCCCCUCGAGGCCCUCCAGACCCCCGUCUCACCCCUCUGCUCAUGGUUCUCCAGCUCCUGUCUCUACUAUGCCUAAACGCAUGUCUGCAGAAGGUACAAUACCACGAUUUGUUCAUUUUUGUUUGUCUCUGUUUAGCUCCGUCGUGAGGUUAUGGUUACAAAUAGUCUCCUUUUCACUAGUUAAUAACCUGUAAGUUUGUGUUGUAACUUUAGUUUAUUGA
RNAcentral lists this long non-coding RNA (626 nucleotides) under Rattus norvegicus (Norway rat). Its description in RNAcentral is "long non-coding RNA NONRATT008000". The record is from RNAcentral. Lineage: Eukaryota; Metazoa; Chordata; Mammalia; Rodentia; Muridae.